GUGCCCAUAGCUCAGCGGAUAGAGCAACUGCCUUCUAAGCAGUGGGUCGGAGGUUCGAGUCCUCCUGGGCAUG
The sequence is a transfer RNA, 73 nucleotides long. It matches the Rfam family "tRNA". Rfam says of the family: Transfer RNA (tRNA) molecules are approximately 80 nucleotides in length. Their secondary structure includes four short double-helical elements and three loops (D, anti-codon, and T loops).